RNAcentral lists this unclassified non-coding RNA (329 nucleotides) under soil metagenome. RNAcentral describes it as "partial contains 5.8S ribosomal RNA, internal transcribed spacer 2, and large subunit ribosomal RNA". The stretch from base 1 to 120 matches the Rfam family "5.8S ribosomal RNA", at positions 35 to 154 of the family's 154-position model. The record is from RNAcentral.
GAUGAAGAACGUAGCGAAAUGCGAUAAGUAGUGUGAAUUGCAGAAUUCAGUGAAUCAUCGAAUCUUUGAACGCACAUUGCGCCCCUUGGUAUCCCGAGGGGCAUGCCUGUUCGAGCGUCAUUUCACCACUCAAGCCUGGCUUGGUGUUGGGCGACGUCCCCUUUAGGGACGCGCCUCGAAACGCUCGGCGGCGUGGCACCGGCUUUAAGCGUAGCAGAAUCUUUCGCUUUGGAAGUCGGGGCCCCGCCUGCCGGAAUACCUACUCGUAAGGUUGACCUCGGAUCAGGCAGGGAUACCCGCUGAACUUAAGCAUAUCAAUAAGCGGAAGA